ACGUAGGGGGCAAGCGUUAUCCGGAAUUAUUGGGCGUAAAGAGUGCGUAGGUGGUUUUUUAAGCGUGAGGUGAAAGGCAAUAGCUUAACUAUUGUAAGCCUUGCGAACUGGAAGACUUGAGUGCAGGAGAGGAAAGUGGAAUUCCUAGUGGAGCGGUGAAAUGCGUAGAUAUUAGGAGGAGCACCAGAGGCGAAGGCGGCUAACUGGACUGUAACUGCCUCUGAUGCACGAAAGCGUGGGCAGCAAACAU
RNAcentral lists this ribosomal RNA (250 nucleotides) under uncultured prokaryote. Its description in RNAcentral is "partial 16S rRNA". It matches the Rfam family "Bacterial small subunit ribosomal RNA", at positions 525 to 775 of the family's 1533-position model. The record is from RNAcentral.